Molecule: ribosomal RNA, 252 nt
Filed under: uncultured bacterium
Lineage: Bacteria
Description: partial 16S ribosomal RNA
Rfam family: Bacterial small subunit ribosomal RNA
Source: RNAcentral
UACGUAGGUCCCGAGCGUUGUCCGGAUUUAUUGGGCGUAAAGCGAGCGCAGAUGGUUUAUUAAGUCUGGUGUAAAAGGCAGUGGCUCAACCAUUGUAUGCAUUGGAAACUGGUAGACUUGAGUGCAGGAGAGGAGAGUGGAAUUCCAUGUGUAGCGGUGAAAUGCAUAGAUAUCACGCAGAACUCCGAUUGCGAAGGCAGCGUACCGGCAUCCAACUGACGCUGAGGCACGAAAGCGUGGGGAUCAAACAGG